ACAGAGGGUGCAAACGUUGCUCGGAAUCACUGGGCGUAAAGGGCGCGUAGGCGGACAAGUAAGUCGGGCGUGAAAUCCCUAGGCUCAACCUAGGAACUGCACUCGAAACUGCAUGUCUUGAGUACCGGAGAGGAAAGCGGAAUACCUGGUGUAGAGGUGAAAUUCGUAGAUAUCAGGUGGAACACCAGUGGCGAAGGCGGCUUUCUGGACGGUAACUGACGCUGAGGCGCGAAAGCGUGGGGAGCAAACAGGA
Molecule: ribosomal RNA, 253 nt
Filed under: uncultured prokaryote
Description: partial 16S ribosomal RNA
Rfam family: Bacterial small subunit ribosomal RNA
Source: RNAcentral